CUCCUCUAUUACUCGAAGGAUAUGCCCAAGAUAGGAUGGAAGAUGCGUAGGAAAUUGUGUGUGACAUUCUCAAUGAAUUCGUCCCGUCGCCGACGAGAUUCAUCAUGUAAGGCCUUUAAUAAUUUAAUUAAAUUUAUCCAUCAACAA
Hordeum vulgare subsp. vulgare (domesticated barley) is the source of this 147-nucleotide long non-coding RNA. RefSeq lists it as uncharacterized. The record is from RefSeq and is a predicted model, not a curated record. The transcript is spliced from 2 exons. Lineage: Eukaryota; Viridiplantae; Streptophyta; Magnoliopsida; Poales; Poaceae.